UACGGGGGGGCAAGCGGUUGUUGCGGAAUUACUGGGCGUAAAGGGGUUUGUAAGGUGGCCCGCUAAGUCACACGUGAAAUCCCUCAGCUUAACUGGGGAACUGCGUGUGAGACUGGCAGGCUCGAGGGCAGGAGAGGAACGCGGAAUUCCAGGUGUAGCGGUGAAAUGCGUAGAUAUCUGGAGGAACACCGGUGGCGAAGGCGGCGUUCUGGACUGUCUCUGACACUGAAGAACGAAAGCCAGGGAGCAAACGGG
This 255-nucleotide ribosomal RNA is filed under the name uncultured bacterium. RNAcentral describes it as "partial 16S ribosomal RNA". It matches the Rfam family "Bacterial small subunit ribosomal RNA", at positions 524 to 776 of the family's 1533-position model. The record is from RNAcentral.